GAUGAACGCUGGCGGCGUGCCUAAUACAUGCAAGUCGAGCGAACAGACGAGGAGCUUGCUCCUCUGUCGUUAGCGGCGGACGGGUGAGUAACACGUGGAUAACCUACCUAUAAGACUGGGAUAACUUCGGGAAACCGGAGCUAAUACCGGAUAAUAUAUUGAACCGCAUGGUUCAAUAGUGAAAGACGGUUUUGCUGUCACUUAUAGAUGGAUCCGCGCCGCAUUAGCUAGUUGGUAAGGUAACGGCUUACCAAGGCAAUGAUGCGUAGCCGACCUGAGAGGGUGAUCGGCCACACUGGAACUGAGACACGGUCCAGACUCCUACGGGAGGCAGCAGUAGGGAAUCUUCCGCAAUGGGCGAAAGCCUGACGGAGCAACGCCGCGUGAGUGAUGAAGGUCUUCGGAUCGUAAAACUCUGUUAUUAGGGAAGAACAAAUGUGUAAGUAACUAUGCACGUCUUGACGGUACCUAAUCAGAAAGCCACGGCUAACUACGUG
Molecule: ribosomal RNA, 497 nt
Filed under: uncultured bacterium
Lineage: Bacteria
Description: partial 16S ribosomal RNA
Rfam family: Bacterial small subunit ribosomal RNA
Source: RNAcentral